ACAAUGGUAAAUGCUGUUUUGUCUUUUCCACACAAGAAAUCCGAGCAAUAAUUUUGGACUCUCGCGCAUACGCUGGUGACGUCAUGCAAUGUUUUUAGUGCUAUGGCGUACCAGGAAGGGGAGUCGCUUGAAUCUUGGCUCAAUAAAGCCACCCAUCCAACAAACAGACAGGAGGACUGGGAGUACAUCAUAGGCUUCUGUGAUCAAAUCAACAAGGAACUGGAAGGUCCUCAAAUAGCUGUGACUCUGCUCGUCCAUAAAAUCCACUCACCACAAGAAUGGGAAGCUCUUCAGGCUCUGACAGUAUUGGAGGCAUGUAUGAAGAACUGCGGGAGAAGGUUUCAUAAUGAAGUUGGAAAAUACAGAUUUUUGAAUGAGCUGAUUAAAGUUGUGUCUCCAAAGUACAUGGGUGACAGUGCACCUGAGAAGGUGAAGAUGAAGAUCGUAGAGAUGCUGUACAGCUGGACGGUGGCUUUUCCAAAUGAAACCAAGAUCAGUGAAGCCUACCAGACGCUGAGAAGACAGGGCCUUGUGACACAUGACCCAGAAUUACCGCUGGACAAGACUCUGAUUCCCUCUCCUCCGACACGACCGAAACAUCCGGUGUUUGAUAACGAGGACAUGGGCAAGCUGCUUGCUGAGCUUCUCCGGAGUAAAAAUCCAGAGGAUCUCCAGGAAGCCAACAGAUUAAUCAAAAACAUGGUGAAAGAGGAUGAGGCAAGAGUGCAUAAGGUUACAAAGCGUAUACACACACUGGAAGAGGUGAACAUCAAUGUCAAGCUGCUGACGGAGAUGCUGUCCCACUACAAUAAAGACAGCUCCACUGACUCAGACAAGGAUAUCAUUAAGGAACUCUACGAGCGGUGUGACAAGCUGAGGCGUUCAGCUUUCAAAAUGGCUACUGAGACAGAAGACAAUGACACCAGUUUAGGUGAUAUCCUGCAGGCCAGCGAUGACCUCUCCAGAGUCAUCAACUCUUACAAGAAGAUAGUUGAGGGGCAGCCCGUCAACGGUGACAGCGAGGAGCCUCGCUCUACAGCCGGUCGGGGGGAGAGUGAGACCACAGAUACGCUGAUCGACCUCGCUGGCCUCGAUACUCCGAGCCCUCCUCAACCUGCUGCCCCUCUUUUUCAGUCCACAAAUCUUGUUUCCACCAAUCCUACGGCUUCCCCCAUCCCUUUUCUGCCUCCUCCUCCCAAACGCCCGGGCGGCUCCCAUGGCAGUCAGAGCAACAGCCCGAGUCACCCCCCCCACGACAAGGCCUCCACUGCACUCUCUCUCCUUGACGAUGAGCUGCUGUCUCUAGGACUGAACGGUCCCCCUACCUCUCUGAGCAGCCACUCAAAACCCAAGUUGAACGAGUUGUCCAACCAGUGGACUUCUUUGCAGGCUCCAGCUUCAGGUGUGGAUAUGUUUUGCAGUGUAGCUUGUUCAGGUCCUGCCGGGCAUCCAGCUGAACCAGCUGCUGCCCCACACAGUCUACAGAACUUGCAGGACCUGGCUAUGAUGGACUUUUCAGAUCCCAAGAGUUUGUCCAUUAAGAUGACAGCCAAAGGAAGCAACUUCGGGAUGCCUGCAGCAGCACCUUCCCUCAUACAUGGGCAGGGUUCUCCUUCUUCACCCUCUUUUCUCCAGGGUACGAUGUCCGGCUCCCCUGCUCUGUCCCAUGCCAAGGCCCAGAGCCUGGGCUCAGCCCCGGGCAGCCCGCUGUUCCGCUCUCUAUCCCCCUGCCACCCUCCCUUUCAGGGCAGCCCGGCCAGAGCUACAGACAUCUCUCUGAGUAAUGUGCACGUCCCUCUGGAGACCAUCAGACCGAGUAAAGUGCUGCCUGUGACGGCUUAUGAUAGGGACGGUGUUCGCAUGCUUAUCAACUUUGCAUCUGACUGCCCCUCCGGCAGGCCUGACGUUUUGGUGAUGGUGGUGUCCAUGCUAAAUACAGCACCCUUGCUUGUUCACAAUGUGGUACUGCAAGCGGCUGUGCCCAAGUCAAUGAAGGUGAAGCUGCAGCCUCCAUCAAGAGCAGAACUGGCACCAUUUAACCCUAUCCUUCCUCCAGCCUCCAUUAACCAGAUAAUGUUGCUGGCCAACCCUACAAAGGACAAGGUGCGUCUGCGCUACAAGCUGUCUUUCACACUAGGAGAGCGGCUGUGUAAUGAGGUUGGAGAGGUCAACCAGUUUCCUCCACCAGAAACAUGGGGUCAUCUAUAGAAGUGUGCAGGCCUGCUGCCACUUAGCAGGGACAGGCUGCUUUGUACUCCAUGAAGGGGUGUGUGCACAUUUACAUUUACCCCAGAGAGAAAGAAGGGGUAGGUGAGGAAAUUCACCUGCACUCUGCCUUGCAGCUUCACAUUCCAUGCAGUUGUUAAUUUGGGCAUUGAGACGCUAACAGCAGACACAAAAGUUGUAUUUACAUAUAGCUUCAAUACCUUUCUGCAAAUAACUGGUAAGUAAGACAGCUGUGGUGUUUACAAGUCGAGGAAACUAACAUAGUAUUUUAAUGGAUCUUCCCCAAGAUGAAUAAAACAGAGUUGAAUGUACUAUAAAUAACCAAUGCAUAAGAGCUCAGACCUGAAUGAUAAGAUGGAUUGCAGCAUAACAAACUGACUUUUGUAAGAACAGAGCCUGAGAUACAACCAUUACAGAUACAAAAGCUUUUAUUUAUUCCUCUGGAUGAGCACUUCCUUAGCCCACAAAAAAUAUACUUGAAUAUAUCCGGGAAUUUGAAAGUGGCAUGUAGUAGAUGUCUUCACAAGGCGGUAAAACUAAAACAUUUUUCUAAGUAAAAAGGACUGUACUGAUUAUUUCCAUCAUCAAGAUUUUUGACAUGAUUAUUUAUUAUACAAGGUAUUGUAGCUCUGUUUUAGUGGACCAACAAUAUUUAAUUUCGUGCUGUAAAGGCAACCAACUGCACCUACAAUGGUUGAUUCUUUAAUUACAAAUAUAGCAUUAUGAUGUAAGUCUGAGUCCAGUGAGUUUUAUUUUAGUUGAAUUUCUUUUUUUUAAAAUAAAAGGCAAUUGUCUGCAUUCCAGUCAUGAUUUUAGCAGUGGGUAUCCAUUUUGUUUAUUUUGAAUUUAAAAGAUUUUAACUCUUCUAACAGUGUCAGUAUUGAGAGUAUUUUUGUCAUAUUUAUUAAUUUCUGUUUUGUUAAUAGUAUUUCAGUGCAUCACUGAACCUGGGAAAUGUGAACUGAAA
This is an RNA transcript of Etheostoma cragini (Arkansas darter), 3193 nucleotides long. It is a transcript of the gene named golgi associated, gamma adaptin ear containing, ARF binding protein 3b, with no coding region annotated. The transcript has 18 exons. NCBI's taxonomy places the organism in Eukaryota, Metazoa, Chordata, Actinopteri, Perciformes, Percidae. The record is from RefSeq and is a predicted model, not a curated record.